RNAcentral lists this ribosomal RNA (816 nucleotides) under Myrmecridium juncigenum. RNAcentral describes it as "partial large subunit ribosomal RNA". It matches the Rfam family "Eukaryotic large subunit ribosomal RNA", at positions 76 to 926 of the family's 3401-position model. Lineage: Eukaryota; Fungi; Ascomycota; Sordariomycetes; Myrmecridiales; Myrmecridiaceae. The record is from RNAcentral.
UGCCCCAGUAACGGCGAGUGAAGCGGCAACAGCUCAAAUUUGAAAUCUGGCGCAAGCCCGAGUUGUAAUUUGCAGAGGAUGCUUUUGGUGCGGUGCCUUCUGAGUUCCCUGGAACGGGACGCCGGAGAGGGUGAGAGCCCCGUACAGUUGGACACCAAGCCUUUGUAAAGCUCCUUCGACGAGUCGAGUAGUUUGGGAAUGCUGCUCAAAAUGGGAGGUAAAUGCCUUCUAAAGCUAAAUACCGGCCAGAGACCGAUAGCGCACAAGUAGAGUGAUCGAAAGAUGAAAAGCACUUUGAAAAGAGGGUUAAAAAGUACGUGAAAUUGUUGAAAGGGAAGGGCUCGUGACCAGACUUGCGCCCGUCGGAUCAUCCGGCCUUCUGGCCGGUGCACUCCGGCGGGCUCAGGCCAGCAUCGGUUCUUCUGGGGGGACAAAAUCGGCGGGAACGUAGCUCCUUCGGGAGUGUUAUAGCCCGCCGCAGAAUACCCCCGGGGGGACCGAGGACCGCGCUUCGGCAAGGAUGCUGGCGUAAUGGUCACCAGCCACCCGUCUUGAAACACGGACCAAGGAGUCAAGCAUUAGGGCGAGUGUUUGGGUGUCAAACCCGCACGCGAAAUGAAAGUGAACGCAGGUGAGAGCUUCGGCGCAUCAUCGACCGAUCCUGAUGUUUUCGGAUGGAUUUGAGUAAGAGCCUUACCGCUUGGACCCGAAAGAUGGUGAACUAUGCUUGGAUAGGGUGAAGCCAGAGGAAACUCUGGUGGAGGCUCGCAGCGGUUCUGACGUGCAAAUCGAUCGUCAAAUCUGAGCAUGGGGCGA